Gallus gallus (chicken) is the source of this 3059-nucleotide long non-coding RNA. The record is from Ensembl. NCBI's taxonomy places the organism in Eukaryota, Metazoa, Chordata, Aves, Galliformes, Phasianidae.
CAGAAAAGCACAUAGAGAAGUGAGGCUGUUUGCCCAAGUUGGGUGCUAUGACAUGAGGUGAUGGGAUGGUGGUUUUUAAGCAAAUCUGUUGUUGGGUGAAUACAUUUUGUUCUUCUUGCCAGUGGAAGAAUUUGCUGCCACAUUUGUGGAGAUGCAGUGUGUGUGAUUAGAAGUACACCCAGAAUAAGCUAGAUAAGCAGCAUUCUCGCACACCUCCUUAUCCUCUAAGUCAUCCUCUACGGAGGAUUAAGUAUGUAAGAUAAGCAUUAAAGCUUUAAUAGCAAACAAACUGCUUUCUUUGUCUAAUGGUGCAUCUCUUGUAUCUCCAUGAUGCGGACAGUCUUCAGCCUGGUCCUCUUCAGCUCUCUUUUUGUCAUCAAAAGUAAGUCAGCUCUCUUCUUCCUUUGUUCUUUAUUCCUUAUUUCCUAUUUCAGACGCGGCUGAGCUUCUCUGCUGUUCUGGGCUUUCCUCUUGACUUGGUUGGUUUUCAGAGUGUUUUGUGUGUGUGGUUAGCAGCACAGCAUUGCACUUCUGGUAUGUAAUGGAAACAUUGAGAUGUUUGCAAAGAAAUGUAAGUGCGUUAUCUCUGUGGAUGGCAAGUGUGCCUCGUGCUCUGCACAUCUCACCAAGGACGUUGUAAAGAAGCUGCAAGUUCGUGCUUGUGUUUGAAAAUUCUGUGUAGUUUCAACCAAAGAUAAACUUUGGGGAUAAGGAGAAUUAGAUUAUAGCUGUCAUGUUUAAACAGAAGCAAAAAUUGUAAGAUGUGUUGUUUGGUCUUCCAGUGGAGCUGAUACUUUAGAAGACUAAGUAUGGAUGAUAGUACUACUUCAGGUGUUCACAGUGUACUUUCACAUGGUGCUGUGGACCAAAGACCACAAUGGAGGGGGGAAACCAUCAUGCUCCAGCUUGUUCUCCAACUGUUACAAGAAGGUGUGGAUGCAGUCAGCAUCAGAUAUUCACCAUCCCUGGAGGUGUUCAAGGGACGUUUAGAUAUUGUACCGAUGGAUGUGGUUAGUGGGGAAUGAUGGUAUAGGUGGAUGGUUGGACUGGGUGAUCAUGGAGGUCUUUUCCAGCCUUGGUGAUUCUGUGAUAUUCUUGAGUUCUGCUCAGUGCAAUUGUAGCAAUCAGAUAACACGGGUCUCAUUGUUUUUAAUCUUUAAAGUCAGUUAUCUGGGCCCCUUUAAAAGAGAGAAAUUGAUAGGAUUUGCAAAAUAUUUAGAUAUUCAUGAUCUUUUAGCAACUUUUGCAUGUGCUUCAAGCAAAGUCAUAAAGACUGCAUAGAUGGGAUUAUUAUUUUUUGCAAACUCUAACCCACCGCUAUUACAAGAGAUCUUCUCUCUCCUAAUGACAGGUGAAGCACUGCAAUGUUACACCUGUGUAGGUUCUAGCGAUGAUGACUGCAACAGGCAAGGGACGCAGCAGUGCCCGGGGCAUUCCGAUGCGUGUGCGGUCAUGCGAGGACAAGCAAGUGGUGUGAUGAAGUCCUGCUCGUUCCGCUCCUUCUGUGAGAGGGCAAUGAGGGAUGGAGCUAGAGCACCCGGGGUGAGCGUCCACUGCUGCUACUCCAGCCACUGCAACGCCAAGAGCCGGGGCGCAAGGCUCAGCCCCUGCAGCGGCUGCUUCGUCCUCCUCCUCUUGUCCCUGUGUUGGCACCCCCUGUUGAAGCUGACAUGAGGAGGAACAGGAUCCUGAAACUGCCUUUAUAGAAAGGGAUGGUUGUAAUUACACUUCCUGUAUCACGUUACUCCACGUACUGCGUUUCUCAGUAGGAAGAAGCUGUAGGCAGACUUAGCUGCAGGUAGCAGCCUUGUAGUUAAGGUAAGGAGUGAUGUGCUCCAGCUGCUUUUGCUGUCAGCAUGCACUCAAAAGCAAGCUACAAUUUUCAAGCACAAAGUGACCGAGAAUUCUAGCAUGCUUUUGAGUUGCUCAGAAAAUAUCUCCAGUCUGGACAAAGGCAGAAAACCUGACGUAAGAAUGGUUUAGUGUUGAUACAAAGUGCUAAGAGAAAGCUAUUAAGAGGAAAAAAAAAGUUCAGAAACACAUUGUGUUACAUAUAUUUAUAGGGAUAAAAGAACUUUCCCAGUCUCCUUUCUCCUGUGGGCAGCUGUUAACAGUCGUGAUGCCCAACCUGGGCCAUAAUGGUGUAACACAACGUGGUCACAUUGAGCUGCUGUUGGGUCGGUGAUGCUGGGAAGGAGCUGGCAGGGCAGAGGUGGUUCGUAGCACAGUGACACGUAGGCAGGCAGUUGAUCUGUGUAGAUGUCAGCAUCCAGCUAUACUGACCAGGUCUAAUCUCCAGCACACAGCGGCUUUCAGCCUGGCUGGUGUCACUUCAGUAGAGGUGGUCUUCCAGUGAGGAGUUCUGAUCUUCAUUGCCUGUUUGGAAUUCAAGCAAGUUUAUGGAACUCACAAACUAUGUGGCAAAGUAGAUGUUCCACUAGCUCUGUGUUGUGACCUUGUUUCUAAGUAUUGUUUUUGCAAGAUCAGUACUAGGCAGCAUGUUGUAGGAUCCUGCACAUCUUCCAAAAUUUGGCCAAGGUUCUUCUUGAGAGCUUCUUCAAGUGAAGUCAAUGAAAGCUCAGGGCACUGUGCUCUUACCCCACCCUACAGCUGCACUGUCUCCUUGUUUUGUUGCACUCCCUCCGGAUGGAUCCUUCCAUUGUCUUCUGUAGGUUGUGGGGUCGGACUGGGGCCGUUCCUUCGGGGUUUUGCUAGAAGGAGCUCUCAGACCCAGGGGUUCUGCUCUGUGGUUGUUGUUAUCACAAGGCUGAUACAGCUGUUUAAAAAAAAAAAGAUGGCUGUACUGCGACACCAUGGCUGAGAAUAUUAAUUUAGGCUUAAAUAUCUCAUAUGUGUAACAAAUCACUUGAGCUGAUAAGAAUUCUUCAUUUCAUUCUCAGCUUGAAUCAGCUCCUUCAAUCUGUUCUGCUACACAAAAUAUGUAUUCAUGGCACCUUUAUUUUCUGAUUGCUCUGUAAUGAUAAAACUCUCUCGAAUGCAACCUCUGUAAUGCUCCGUGCAUUUCCUUAAUGACAAAUUAAAAUAUAUGCAAUGUCUGA